This 468-nucleotide ribosomal RNA is filed under the name uncultured bacterium. RNAcentral describes it as "partial 16S ribosomal RNA". It matches the Rfam family "Bacterial small subunit ribosomal RNA", at positions 28 to 507 of the family's 1533-position model. The record is from RNAcentral.
GACGAACGCUGGCGGCGUGCUUAACACAUGCAAGUCGAACGGAAAGGCCCUGCUUUUGUGGGGUGCUCGAGUGGCGAACGGGUGAGUAACACGUGAGUAACCUGCCCUUGACUUUGGGAUAACUUCAGGAAACUGGGGCUAAUACCGGAUAGGAGCUCCUGCUGCAUGGUGGGGGUUGGAAAGUUUCGGCGGUUGGGGAUGGACUCGGGGCUUAUCAGCUUGUUGGUGGGGUAGUGGCUUACCAAGGCUUGGGCGGGUAGCCGGCCUGAGAGGGUGACCGGGGACGGUGGGACGGAGGGAGGGCGCAGAGGGCGACGGGAGGCAGCAGUGGGGAAUAGUGCGCAAGGGGCGGAAGCCUGAUGCAGCGACGCCGCGGGCGGGAUGACGGCCUUCGGGUUGUAAACCGCUUUCGGCUGGGACGAAGCGUGAGUGACGGUAAUGGGUAAAGAAGCACCGGCUAACUACGUG